GAGACGUUAGUAAAAUAUUACACUGCUUUGUCAAGGCAGAAUUGUGAGUUAAAUCCUCGCACAUCUUA
This 68-nucleotide transfer RNA is filed under the name Cylix sp. z GS-2022. RNAcentral describes it as "tRNA-Asp". It matches the Rfam family "tRNA". From Rfam's summary of the family: Transfer RNA (tRNA) molecules are approximately 80 nucleotides in length. Their secondary structure includes four short double-helical elements and three loops (D, anti-codon, and T loops). The record is from RNAcentral. Lineage: Eukaryota; Metazoa; Chordata; Actinopteri; Syngnathiformes; Syngnathidae.